CAAACCCCGUUGAGAAGCCCAAGAGGCGGCCUUUAGAUCACAGGGCUGAACCACAGGGAGGCAGCAGAAAGGGAAGGGGAUUGUACCAUGUUGAUUUCCAGGAAGGGGGUGUGUGUCAGAUGAUGGAACAGCAUAAGAUUGUACCACAUGUAACCAGGGAAGGGAUCCGGGCUGUACCAUUUUGGAACCACGGCCCAGGAGUGAAUCGUACCGCUGGGAAGCCAGGUGGCUCGGGUUCGGGUUAUGUACAAGUUGCAGAUUACGAGCAUUGAAGAGGGAAAGACAAAUCAUGGACCAGCAACGCUGGUUGACACACACGCAGAAGGGAGAAAGCGAGUGCGAGCUCAGGAGGCUGGACCAAACAGAAACGGCAAAGGGUUCCUGCUCCCGACAAUCACUGAAUCAUUCAGCAUAGUUUGAACAGCAGUGCCUUUGCCACCUCUGUUCUGGUCAAUGUAAGGUGCUCACUAUCGGUGAAUUUAUUUAACUAACAAAUAUUUAUUGAGCUGCCACCAUGUGCCAUGGAUGCCAGGAGGAGAACAAAAGAAGUAGACAAAAACCCUGGACCGCAUGGAACUUGCGUUCUAAGGGAGCAGACGCAAACAAUAAAUAAUGAAUCACAUAA
Molecule: long non-coding RNA, 625 nt
Organism: Suricata suricatta (meerkat)
Lineage: Eukaryota; Metazoa; Chordata; Mammalia; Carnivora; Herpestidae
Exons: 2
Source: RefSeq, a predicted model, not a curated record